RNAcentral lists this unclassified non-coding RNA (436 nucleotides) under Hevea brasiliensis (rubber tree). The record is from RNAcentral. Lineage: Eukaryota; Viridiplantae; Streptophyta; Magnoliopsida; Malpighiales; Euphorbiaceae.
GUACUGGUCAAAAUGCUCCGUUUAAAUAAUUCUUCAAUGCUCCAAACAUGUUAUGGAUCAAACCAUCCAAUAUGCUGCUAGACCUCUAAGCCAAGAGCAAACCAGCUAAUUGGCAUCCACUAGAAGGGAAAGUGGGCAGAACUCAUAGAGGUCCAAGGUGUUUCAGUCUUCAAUAUCCUUGGGUUAGCUAAUGCAUACAAACCGACAGACUCCUUAGUGCACUGCGCCCUCCCACCACACCAUACACGUCCAACUAGCCAUCUCUCUUUCAUCCAUCAAAGGUUAUCAAUUUGCUAUCACUAGAUUCUUCAAACCUACAAACAACACAACCCAAAACUUAUUUUUACACCCACAACUUGGCUGAGAGAUAGUUGCCUCCACCAGGCUAGGGAAAACAAAACCAGCCUUUUACCCUACUCCAAAGGGCGGGGGAAGC